Molecule: non-coding RNA, 891 nt
Organism: Arachis ipaensis
Lineage: Eukaryota; Viridiplantae; Streptophyta; Magnoliopsida; Fabales; Fabaceae
Source: RefSeq, a predicted model, not a curated record
GAGGUCCAAACGAUGCGGUUCCAGUUGCGUUGGAAAGCUAACAUCCGGAACUUCGAUUUGAUAUAUAAUAUGCUAUAGCUGCCCCGACGUUAAGCAAUGCAAACGCGUGAAUGACGCGUCCGCGUCGCAUCUGCGAACUUCAAGCGUAAGGGAAAUUGGAAGAGAGGGACCUAUUUCUUGUAGCCUCUAGCAUCUUGUUUUGCAAGGCGAUGGUUGAGGCCUCCCCGUUCUCUUCGCUGGAGCACGCAACAUCAUUCGCAAGAGACCUGUGGUUCAACACGUUGCCAAUUCAGUCAUGGCUGGAUACAUUCUCAGCACACAGGCACAUAGGGAUUGCUUCAAUUCGCAACAAAGUACCGCAAGAAAUUCGGCUUUGGGUUCAUCACUAGCACGAACCUAUUUCUUAAAGCAACAAAUAUUGGAGGAGGUGCAAGUAAAGUUUGGAUUUAUUGUGAUUUGUUUAGCCAUCUACUUGGGUACAAUUUUUUAAUUCAAUGGUGAUAUGGCCGAUUGCUUUUCUUUAUUUUUUGAAAUGAGGUACUGAAUGGGAAAGUCAAUAAAUAUAUGCAUGUUCCUCGAUUAGUCUGUUCUUUUUUUUUUCUUUUUACUUAGUAAGGAGAUUGUUUGGAAGAAGAGAGUUGAAAACCAAGAACUGGAUGUGGAUGUAAUUUAGGACUGGGAAUCAAGUUUUACAAUAGCUGACCUAGCACUUCGCAUCAAGCUUUAGAAAAGAUACAGAUUUCAUUUUAUAAUUUACUUGCUGAUGUAGAAGUUAUAGUAGUAAAUUUACUUCGAUAGAUAAUUAUUGAAGUGCAAACAUGGUAAUUUGCUCUUUUUUUUUUAUCCUAUUUUAGAAAUGAUCUGGUGUCUCUAAGAUACUCCCUGUAACCU